This 253-nucleotide ribosomal RNA is filed under the name uncultured bacterium. RNAcentral describes it as "partial 16S ribosomal RNA". It matches the Rfam family "Bacterial small subunit ribosomal RNA", at positions 524 to 776 of the family's 1533-position model. The record is from RNAcentral.
UACAGAGGUCUCAAGCGUUGUUCGGAUUCAUUGGGCGUAAAGGGUGCGUAGGCGGCGCGGUAAGUCGGGUGUGAAAUCUCGGGGCUUAACUCCGAAACUGCAUUCGAUACUGCCGUGCUUGAGGACUGGAGAGGAGACUGGAAUUUAUGGUGUAGCGGUGAAAUGCGUAGAUAUCGUAAGGAAGACCAGUGGCGAAGGCGGGUCUCUGGACAGUUCCUGACGCUGAGGCACGAAGGCCAGGGGAGCAAACGGG